UAUUUGCCUGUUUAGCUCAGAGUUCAGAGCGUGGCCCUUGUAAUGCAAUGGUUAUUGGUUCGACUCCAAUGGCAGGUUU
Molecule: non-coding RNA, 79 nt
Organism: Marchantia paleacea
Lineage: Eukaryota; Viridiplantae; Streptophyta; Marchantiopsida; Marchantiales; Marchantiaceae
Source: the annotation of a GenBank genome assembly